This 366-nucleotide long non-coding RNA is filed under the name Drosophila guanche. Lineage: Eukaryota; Metazoa; Arthropoda; Insecta; Diptera; Drosophilidae. The record is from RNAcentral.
CUCUCCCACUCCCAAUUGGCAGCAGCGACGCUCUCUCAUUUGCGGGCCCCAUUAAUGCCUGAAUGGCUUUAUUGGCAGAAACAUUUUUCAAUAUAUUAAGUAAAUUAUGCCAUUAGAGUCCUCAAUUUAGUCAUGAAUGCAACGAGCAAGAAAGAGAUUCCUUCCACACACACACGCCUGUCGUAUACGCAAUUGUCCUGAGGCACUCAAGGAAGUCCUAAACUGAGAUUGAAGUGUGCUAAAGAGAGAAGGAGGCAGAUGGAGCCAGAGAACUAUAGAGCUGCGAGGAGUGAUUCAACAGUUGAAAGUUGUUUAAGCUCCAAGGCACUUCACGGCUGCCUCUCAAGUACAAAGCGUUUCUUUUAG